RNAcentral lists this ribosomal RNA (602 nucleotides) under Amphilogia sp. 171PG/F. Its description in RNAcentral is "eukaryotic LSU rRNA". The stretch from base 226 to 379 matches the Rfam family "5.8S ribosomal RNA". The record is from RNAcentral. Lineage: Eukaryota; Fungi; Ascomycota; Sordariomycetes; Diaporthales; Cryphonectriaceae.
ACCUGCGGAGGGAUCAUUGCUGGAACUGUGUCCUCCCCGGACACAACCCCGCAUACCCUUUGUGAACUUAUACCAUUUAUAUCGUUGCCUCGGCGUUGAGCUGGGAGUGCUCUUCUGCGCUCCCCCUAACCGCGCAAGCGGUUCGGAGCCAGCCCGCCGGCGGCCCACCAAACUCUUGUUUUUAGAACCUGUCUCUUCUGAGUUUUUUAUAAACAAAUGAAUCAAAACUUUCAACAACGGAUCUCUUGGUUCUGGCAUCGAUGAAGAACGCAGCGAAAUGCGAUAAGUAAUGUGAAUUGCAGAAUUCAGUGAAUCAUCGAAUCUUUGAACGCACAUUGCGCCCGCUGGAAUUCCAGCGGGCAUGCCUGUUCGAGCGUCAUUUCAACCCUCAAGCCUGGCUUGGUGUUGGAGCACUACCCGUUAUACGGUAGGCUCUGAAAUUCAGUGGCGGGCUCGCUAAGACUCUGAGCGUAGUAGUUUACCACCUCGCUUUGGAAGGAUUAGCGGUGCUCUGGCCGUAAAACCCCCCAACUUCUGAAUUUUGACCUCGGAUCAGGUAGGAAUACCCGCUGAACUUAAGCAUAUCAAUAAGCCGGGAGGAA